GUGAGGGAAAUUCUAGAUCCAGUUUUGAAGUCUGACAGAACUGAAUUGAAACACAGCAUCCAAUGCUUUCUUAUUUGACCUUGGGAAAGUCACAACUUCUCUUUGCCUCAGUUUUCUCAUCUGUAAAAUGGAGAAAAUAAAACUGACCUUAAAGUAUGAUUGUAUAGAUAUUUUAAAACGCUAUUUACAAAGCAGUCUUUGGCACAGAAGAGGAGCCCAAUAAUGAAGCUAGUACAGGUAUUCUCCAUUGUAUGGCCUGUUGCUCCACAUGCCCUCCAGCUAAAGCCUCUCAUAGCAGGGGGAGCAAGGGACAGAAGGCCAAUCAAAGAAUUAGGAAGAUUUUAAGCUGAAAGGGCUUUAGCAGUACUGAGGUCAAAGGUUCUCAGACAUGGCUGAGCAUCCCAAUAACUGGUAGCCUGUUAAUAAUACUGAUUCCAGGUCCUUAUCCGGGAGACUGGGACUCAAGAAGUCUGUCUAGGGGCCAGGGUAUCUGCAAUUUAAUAAGCUCUCCAGGUGAUUCUGAUGAACUGCCAAGUUUGAGAACCUCUGAACUAGGUCAGUCACCUUGUUAAAGUAAAUGAGUAAAUGAAUUACUACUAUUUUUCUUCCAUUAUAAGCACAAUGCAUAGUCAUUAUAAAAUAUGCAGAAAACAUGGAAAAGCAAAAAAUCAAAAUAAAAAAGUAAAAAUUCAAUCAUAUAUUGAGUGAUUAUUAAAUGCCAGGCCCUUUGCUGAAUCCUAGGGAUUUGUUGAUAACACAAUUCUGACCCUAAGGAAGGCCCAGUCUAUGUGCAGAGAUGGAAACAAACAAGAAGACUGUAACAGAGGACAUAUGUGUUAGAGCCAAGUUACAAAUUUUAUAGAAAGAAGGAUGAAGGAGCAACUGAUUCCACCUAGGAAGUCAGGGAAAUUUGCAGAGCUGGACUAGAAGAAGAGCAGAUAUUCAUGGCGAGACAAGGGAGUAAAGGGAAUUUCAGGAGGAAUGAACCAGACAUACAAAAGCAUACAGGGAUGAAAGGUAUUUGUUAGGAAAAUGUCCUAAGGUCACCAUAGUGAGGUCACCAUAUACAGUAAAUAGUGGUGGCACAAAGACAGCUGGUGUGAACAUCUGGGUCUGGAUCAUGAAGGGUGUGGAUAACAUCAACAAUGCUUCCUACACUGGAAAGUAUAUUUCCCAGUAUAUUUUUCAUAUGUGCCUUUUUGUUUUCAUUUUUACAUGACCAAUGCUGCAAUUCUUACUUAAUAAACACUACAAAUUAGUGAAGCAGAUAGGUCAUCUUUUAUCCAUUACCAAAUGUUAGUAAAAUUAGGUAGCUCCUAAUUUUACUAAAUUAUAAAAAGACUAUGAUGAACAUCUUUAACCAUAAAGUUUUUUUCCAUAUUUAAGAUCUUUCCUUAGAGAAGAAUGCUAGGAUAUGAAUUAAUAAAUGAAAGUGAAUGGACAUCUUCAAGGCUCUUGAUAAUAGCUCCAAAGGAUUUUCCAAAAGUGGCACAGAUGUUUUUAUAAAUGAGGAGAUAAGGCCCAAAGAGGUUCCAUGUCUUGUCCAGAUUAUACAGUCGAAUGGGGCGGUACCAAGAGCAACAUCUGGGUCUCCCAACCCCCACUCUAGCUCUCUUUCUUCUGACCACAUUGCUUUUCUACAAAUCAUAGAGAGAUGAAAUAAUAUCUAUUCACCCAAUGCUUCCAAUCAAUUCUAAGUAUUUUAGGUUGGCAAUGUACAUGCAUAGGAGAUGUGAGUAACAUGUGUGUGUUUACAUGCACAUGUGAAGCUCUAUAUACGAGUCUAUUUUUCCAUCCUUAUCAUGUAUGCUCCCCUACCAAUGACAAUUUUUGUUCUAGCCAAGCUGAGCAAAUCUUACAUUGUCUUACCUCCACACCGUUGAUCCUACAUGAAGUAUCUCUUGUUCUCCUAGUCAAAUUCUAUGCAUAUUUUUAAAAUCCAAAAAGCAUUUCCUGACUCUGGGCACUUACUAUCAACAAGAGUCAUACGUGAUACUUACUUUAUUGCUUUGCAGCAGCUCUGGUAUUGAUAUAAAAUUAUUUAAGUUUUACCUAUACAAUAAAAGCUGCCUCCAGCUUCUGUUAUUAGAAAGGGAUAAAACAACCCCCCCAACCCCACCCUUGAGGCUAAUGAAAAGACUUCUAGCAUUUGAUGGGCUGAAGACAGGUAAGGCCAAUCCCUUGUACCUUCUAUAUCUACAGUAGUAGACAUCUUGGUAGACUGGAAAGAGCACAGGACCAGGAGACAGAAUAAUAAUAGCUUCCAUGUGCUGAGGACCUACUCUGACCAGGCACAAUGCUGGUUGCUUUAUAUACAUUAUUUAGAAUCCUUAAAAUUACCCCCAGCAAGGGAAAUAUUAUUUGACCCAUUUUACAGAUGAGGAAUCUUAGGACCUGAGAGAUUAAUUUAUUCACGGUCAAUACCAUCAGUAAGUGGCAAAAUCAGGAUUUAAACUCAAGUAUGUCUUACUCAAAAAUCUAUGUUUUUUUCUGCUUUACUAUAUUAUGUCUCAGCAAAUGUCAUUUCAGUUCUAUCUCUGUUACUUUCAAGAUACAUGAUCUUCUCCUGGUCUUUUUUUCUGUUGCUAUAACCGAAUACCACAGGCUGGAUAAUUUAUAAAGAAGUUGAUUUGGCUCACAGUUCUGGAGGCUGGAAAGUCCAAGAGCAUGGUGCUGGUAUCUAGUGAGGGUCAUGCUAGGGUGGACAGGUGGAAGGAGAAGAGAACACAUGCGAGAGAGAGCUUAUAUUUUUAACAAAGCCACUCCAGCAAUAACUAACCUACUCCCACAAUAAUGACAUAAAUCCAUUCAUAAGGGUUGAUCCCCCAUGACCCAAUCAGCUUCCAAAGGCCCCACUCCCAGCACUGUUACACUGGGGACCAAGUUUCUAACACAGGAAUUUUUGAGGAGCAUAUUCAAACCAUAGCAGAUGCCUAACAGGACAUUCAUGCUCUCCAAAUCCUAGCCUCCUCAGUAACAACAUGGGGAUAAUCAUCUUCCCAUCCUGCCCUUUACUCCCAACACACACGUACACAUACAGGGCUGUUGCAAUGAUUAAAUGUUAUAAUGAGUGUAAAAGACCCAGACAGACAUAUGGGUUGUUAUUAGAGUCCUGAACAGCACAACUGAUCAUUCUGGUGAUAAAUGGACAUCCUGCCAAGAUCCUCUGUCACUUAAAGAGAAUUUAAUUACGCUCACUAGACAGCUCCUUCUAGCAUCAGAGAGUGAAUGUUUGCAAUGCAUUUCAUAAUGACUUUCAAUAAGGCCUGAAACCAAGAGGUUAAUACUCUGAGAAAAAUCCAUUAACCAAAAUACUGCAUUCUUGGAGUACUCUGGUAAUCAUGGCUCCCUGGGAUAUUUUCCCACUCUAUCACAUAUAUGUAUGCAUUUCUAUAUACACUUGCACACAUCUUUCACUGGCAGCCUAUUUCUAGAAAGCAGGAUUCAGCAAAAGGGAAGCUGGGCUUGGAUUCCACCACCAGGGGGGCAAUUGUAAAUGGGCUGGGGGACAUUUAUUUCAGUUUUCCAGAGGUUUCUGGUGAAAUGUUAGGAGACCUGGCUGAGGUGUCAGGAGACCUGGGUUGUAGUUCACAUUCUGCUGCUUAUUCACUAUAUAACAUUGGACAACAUGCUUGACUCAGCCUCGAUGUCCUUUUACAUAAAAUAGGGAUGAUACCUACCUUAGAUAAAUUAGCUAACCUCCCUAGGGCAGUAUUUCCUCUGCUGUGAAACUGUCACAAUUACUAUGUAUAUAUCUGUACCGUGUGCUGGCCCUGUGCUGAGGGCUUUGCAUGUAUUCUUUCACUCCUCCUUACAGUCCUGUGAGACGGGUGCUAUUAUCUCCAGCUGACAGAAGAGGAAACCUAUGCUCAGAGGAGUUCAAUAAUUUGUACCAGGUCAUAUAACUGUUAAGUUACAGAGUUAGGAUUCAAACCUUGGUCCCCUUGAUUUGAAAUGCAGUGCCCUUAACCUUGAAACCACAUUCCUACUUACCAGAGAGCUGUUGCAAGGAAGAAAUGAAGAAACAUUAAUUAUUAUGUGUCUCCUGUGUAUCUAGUAGUUUGCAUCCCUCUUCUGUAAGACACAUGAGUACAAGGAUGCUCUAUAGAGCCCCCGCACAUGAGGCUGCUCUGUGACUGUGGGGCCCUGUGUGGGGAUAUGUGCAUUUUGAGAAGGCAAGGGACAGACAGGACCUGGUAGAAAAGUAUUUACUGCUGUGCUCCCCAAAGUCAUGAAGUCAGCCAUACUAGAAACAUGGAUGAGGGUUAUGGAUGAAAUUUCUCCGAAGUUUUAAAAGUUGGAGAGUUAAAGGCUGGCGUGGCAGUGACAGAAUCUUGCUGAAGACUAGAGUAAAACACUUGCAUUCAUGCAUUAUUGCAGAUUUUUAAGCUGAUGUAUCCAAGGUGACUGUGCUGGACACUAAUGAGGAAAAAGAUAUGACUGAAAUGGCAGGAGUACGUGCCUUCAGAGAAGCUGGACAACCCCACCCCCACUGCUUACACAGAAAGGAUGAAGGGACACAAGGAAGAACCCACAUUUUGAAAUCUUAGGCUGGAUUGAACUAAAAAUAGACCUGUGAUUCAAAUGUCUAUUACUGAGUUCUCUGCUUUUGCACUCUGGAAACCAGGUUGUUUCACUCCCCAUCAAAUCUACCUCCCUAAGGUGUUCAUUCCCACAGCUUGGAGACACAGCAAAGUAAAAACUGCUGAGAGUCUAAUGAGUGUGUGGUACCAUGCCGGGCCCUUUAUACCCAUGAUCUCAUCUGUGCUGCACAAUAACCUUGGGAUGCAUGUACAGAGGAGGAAACUGAGGCCCAGUUAGGUAAGAUGACUUGCCCAAGGUCAUUCAGCUACUAAGUGGCAAUACUGGGAAUUGAAUGAACUCAGGUCAGUCUGACUCCCGAACCCAUGCUCUUUCAAACAGAAAUCCUUGCUACAUUUCAAAGAGGCAGAGCUUCAUUUUAAGCUUAAUGAGUAAUGAAAGCAACAUUGCUCCCUAAUUUACCUUCUGGCUCUGGGAAGGACCCAGCAAGGCAGCCAUUUGAAUGAUUCAUUCCUGUGACUGACAAGGAGACUUCUCUUGGUUAUAGCUUCAGCAGCUGCUAAAUCUGCUACACACCACCCCACUUCACCCCCUCCAUUUGGCUCAGGUAGGUGGAAUUAUUUAUGUAAGAAUUUCAGUGGCCUCCUGCCUUAAGCAUGAUUAUCACAGACUUUUAAGUGAUAAAAAUGUCAUAAAUCAUAAUAAAGGACAAAAGGAAUCAGGGUCAGGGAAGGUAACAGGAAAGAAGAUAUUCUGAAAAGCAAAGAAGUAGGUACAGAUGCAACAGGGUAACUCUCAGCAUUUACAUAAACACUUUCCUAGCAAUUUAUUCAUCUGAUCCUCAUAAUACCCUGGUAGAUGUUAGUAUCUCCAUUUUACAGAUGAAGAAUGUGAGGGUUAGAUCUGAGGUCCAAGGUCAGACCGUGGGUAGGAUAAGAACCCAGGUCUCCUAAUUCUCGCUCAGUGCUUCCCAUAAGCCACUCACCCAAUAAAGUGAAGACAGAAAUCCAUGAGAACUAUCAGAGAAAGAACUCUGUAGUCUUGCCCCUCUGCAUGACAGGACCAGGGAGGGGAAAGUGGCUGCGACAGUAUCAGAGAGUAGUAGCACGGAGUCUGGAACUGUGGGCUCAGGAACAUUUUUCAAGUCCCACCUUAGAUAUAUACUACUACAUAAUUGUGUGACCCUAGGCAACUCAUUUAAUCUCUGCCCUGAUUUCCUCACUUGUAAAACAUAGCAAACAAUAGUACCCACUUCAUAUGGUGGUUGUGAUGACUAAAUAGAAAAAAAAAUACCAUACAUGAACAGUGCUUGGCGCCAAGGCAAACAAUCAGUAAGUGUUAGCUGUCACUGUUUUCAUCAUUAUCAUCAUGAACGUGCCCAACACACUGCUUGGCACAUGAGAAAUGUUAAGUGAAUGUUCAUUUCUUCUCCUUCCCCUUGCUCCUGUAUUUCCCAAGGCACCACACCCCCAUCUGUUAUCUGUAGACCUGUUAAGACGAGGUCUAGGGUUGAGGAAGAGCACACAGUGCUUCUUCCCAGGCAAUGUGACUGGGCUGGCCUUGUUUACUGGGGCAGUGAGCUGCUACACAAAGUCAUUAAUCAUACGUGGUGCUAUGUGCUUUCAGGUCACUCUGCAGAAAUGGACAACUCCAUCUGGUUUUUCCUCAGGGAGACAGAGCCUUCCCAUGUAUCCACGUAUGGAGUUCCUAUUGAGGACUCAACCUUUGCAAUAGCUUCUUGGAAUCUGGAAAGUCUACUAAGGUAAAAAUUGAUAACUGGAUCAUGCUAAGUUCUGGCAAGGAUGUGGAGCUAUAGAAAUCUGCAUUUACUGCUUCUGUCAAGCAUCAGGCACUAAGCUCAGUCCUUUAUAUAUAUUAUCCCGUCUAACUGUCAUAGUUGCUCUGAGCAUUUUCAUUCUUUAUCUACAUAGGGAAACUGAGGUUCAAGGAGGUUAUAAUUCACUCAACGUUGCAUUGCUAGGAAGGAGCAGAGCUGAGUUUCUUUCAUGGACUUAGUGUCCCUCUCAAAAUCACGUCAACUUCAUUUGAAAAUUAUAAUGAAACUAUUAAAACUAUAAUAUUCUUACUUUUUAUACAAAAUUAUUAUCUUUCUUUUCCAACCAUACUUGUACUUGUUACAACCUCAGAAGGCCUAUAUAAAGUAAAGCGGGGGAGUAGGAGAGCCAGAGUAUUAUCUUUAUUUUAUAGAUGUGCUAUUGGAGCCCUUGGAGGGCGAGUAAAUUACUUAAGGUAAUUUAAAUUUCAUUUUAAAAUUGAAGAUUAACAAAGGUACCUGGACAGUUUAAGGAGCCAGAUUAAAAAGACAUCUUCACUAGGGGACAGUCAGUACUGGAUUUGGAAACUGUCACAGUUUUAAAUACAGUAGUGCCCCCUUAUCUUCAGGGGACAUGUUCCAAGACCCCCAAGGGAUGCCUGAAAUCUCAGAUAGUACCAAACUAUAUAUAUUUGCUAUUUUUUCCUAUACAGUAACAGGCGGAUAGUAUAUACAUCAUGGACACACUGGACAAAGAGAUGAUUCAUGUUCUGGGUGGGAUGGAGUGACAUGGCAUGAGAUUUCAUCACGCUACUCAAAAUGUGAAACUUUUGCAUUAUUUCUGGAAUUUUCCAUUGAGUAUUUUCGGACUGUGGCUGACUGCAGGUAACAGAAACUGUAGAAAGUGCAACUGCAGAUAAGGGGAACUACUGUUCUCCCUCUGAGACACGAUUUGAAGCAAAGGGGCCUGGGCUGAGUGGUGGGAGAUCUGCUUUCUUAGUCUGCCUGGGCAGGUCCUCUGGCUGGCUCACAACUGAAACAUAUCACUGCCCCUUCUAAGACUUGAAUAUUUCACUUACAGAUGAAGAUUGGGAACAGUUGGCUUCUGAGAUCCUUUCCAGCACCAACCCACUUUAAUUCUAUAAACCCAACAUUCCCAAGUAUACCAUGGUCAUCUGUACUUUGCAGGCUCUCUCUAGAAUGGACAAAGGUUAUUCUGCAGUGUGGGCACAGAUGUGGUCCUGUAAUGCAAGAUACUGAAAACCACAUCCCCACCCCUAACCCACAAAUUUCCUCUCUAGGCCUCUUUUAUAGGAAUGUCUUCAGACUACCCCACUGCCUAUCCCACUGACAAUUUAAAGGCAAUAUAACUAACAAGCUCAUCCUUUACCCUCUGUCAAUAUCUCUGCUGCCCAUGGCUGGCUCCCCUGUGCUCUGGCCUCCCUAGUGCAAGCUGACUCAGUCAAUACCCAAGACUUACCAUUUCUACCACUAGGCCCUCUCUUAUAUUGAUUCCCAAUUACACAUUACUUUGUUGACUUCUUUUCAUAUUCCACCCUUUAGAUCCUGAAUUCAUCAUCCUUUGUGUAAUAAAUUCCCAGUUUUCAGAAAAAGUGAAAUGGUCCCCUUCUAUGCCUUCAUGGAGACAGGCUGCAGCUGGAGCCUUUUGGCAGCCAAAAGAGACCCCUUUGCAGCUCUUAACAAUCUGUUACUGAAUAAUUUGAGAGAAUAUUGCUAAUUAUGAACCUGUGUCUUUAGAUACCCAAGUCCUUAAGCUGCAGAGUACCCAGGACAAGGUUCUCCUCCUUGAGCAAGUUACCCUCUCUGCCAUAGUUUCCCCAUCUGUGAAACAGGUAUAAUAAUAGUACCUACCUUACUGUUGAUGUAAAGAAUCAAUUAAUAAUGUAUGUAAAAUGUGUAAAACCACACAUAGAUCAAUAAUGUCAACUAUUACUGUUAUUAUGGUUCAAUAAAUAUUUGACAGUUGGUCACACAGUG
Long non-coding RNA from Homo sapiens (human), 8314 nucleotides. RefSeq lists it as uncharacterized. The record is from RefSeq and is a predicted model, not a curated record. NCBI's taxonomy places the organism in Eukaryota, Metazoa, Chordata, Mammalia, Primates, Hominidae. The transcript is spliced from 2 exons.